RNAcentral lists this ribosomal RNA (517 nucleotides) under uncultured bacterium. RNAcentral describes it as "bacterial SSU rRNA". It matches the Rfam family "Bacterial small subunit ribosomal RNA", at positions 971 to 1501 of the family's 1533-position model. The record is from RNAcentral.
UUACCUAGGCUUGAAAAUCAAGUUAAUCCCGAUGAAAGUCGGGGUGCCGCAAGGCGAGCUUGUACAGAUGCUGCAUGGCUGUCGUCUGCUCGUGCCGUGAGGUGUUGGGUUAAGUCCCGCAACGAGCGCAACCCCUGUUCUUAGUUGCCAUCAGGCAAUGCUGGGCACUCUAAGAAGACUGCCUACGCAAGUAGUGAGGAAGGUGGGGACGACGUCAAGUCCGCAUGGCUCUUACGCCUAGGGCAACACACGUGCUACAAUGGCUACUACAAAGGGCUGCAAUACCGCAAGGUGAGCCAAUCCCUAAAAAGUAGUCUCAGUUCGGAUUGGAGUCUGCAACUCGACUCUAUGAAGCUGGAAUUGUUAGUAAUCGCGUAUCAGAACGACGCGGUGAAUACGUUCCCGGGCCUUGUACACACCGCCCGUCAAGCCAUGGAAGCUGGGGGUACCCGAAGUUACCUUUAAUAAGUACCUAAGGUAAAACCAGUGACUGGGGCGAAGUCGUAACAAGGUAGCC